RNAcentral lists this ribosomal RNA (379 nucleotides) under uncultured bacterium. RNAcentral describes it as "bacterial SSU rRNA". It matches the Rfam family "Bacterial small subunit ribosomal RNA", at positions 790 to 1167 of the family's 1533-position model. The record is from RNAcentral.
GUAGUCCACGCUGUAAACGAUGGGUACUAGGCUUUGUGGGAAUAGACCCCUGCAGAGCCGGAGCUAACGCAAUAAGUACCCCGCCUGGGAAGUACGGUCGCAAGACUAAAACUCAAAGGAAUUGACGGGGGCCCGCACAAGCGGUGGAUCAUGUGGUUUAAUUCGAAGCAACGCGCAAAACCUUACCUGGGUUUGACAUCCCCGGACCGCUGUAGAAAUACAGUUUUUGUAGCAAUACAACCGGGAGACAGGUGCUGCAUGGCUGUCGUCAGCUCGUGUGGUGACAUGUUGGGUUAAGUCCCGCAACGAGCGCAACCCUUGCCUUUAGUUGCCAGCAUUAAGUUGGGCACUCUAGAGGGACUGCCGUGGUUAACACGGA